UGGGAGCCCUGCUCAGCAGACACUCAGCCCUAGCGUGUUGCCUGCUGGUGAGGGUCUCUGCACACCAGCUCUGCAGUCAGCCCUUCAGCUUGUGCUGCAGGCACAAGCCUGGCACACAGGCAGUGCAGCCACGGCAGACCUGGAUCCCAUGCAGCCCAGCCUGGCCCACCAUGCAUCAGGGGAACCCAAGGCACUCAUUCUCCUGCCAGCCGACAGAGCACCCCGAAAGGACAGAGAGGAGCCACAGACAUGGAUGCCCUGGGCCCUACCUGUUUGCCCGCUGAGCCCUGCACCAUUCUUGCACCUGGAUGUGUUGGGCAUGGGAAUGCAUCCGACCUGGGGUCAGAAGCACAGGAGGGCACGGGACCUGUCUGUCCACACCCCAGAUGCACAC
RNAcentral lists this long non-coding RNA (394 nucleotides) under Heterocephalus glaber (naked mole-rat). Its description in RNAcentral is "lncRNA (ENSHGLG00000036135.1)". The record is from RNAcentral. Lineage: Eukaryota; Metazoa; Chordata; Mammalia; Rodentia; Bathyergidae.